GUAGCUGACCUUUAAGAAAAUUGACAGACAAAUUAAGAUGAGUGAGUUUGGAGAGGUUUCCUAGUGAAGGAGGUACCUGACCAUCAAGAAAAUUGACAGACAAAUCAAGAUGAGUGAGCUUGGAGAGAUUUCCUAGUGAAGGAGGUAGAUGACCUUNCAAGAUUAACGCGCGCUGCUAUAGCUAAGUUCCUGGCAGGUGUUUCGGAAAAGUGCAAAAUGAGUAUUCAAGAACCGUGACAGAACACAGCUGAAUGUAUAGUGAGUUUCGGGUGUUCGAAAUUGGUUUUCAUCCAAAAUAAACUUAACAAAUUCAAAUGUGCGCAACUGCUUACAAUCAUUUGAGUGCUUUUGGUUUUUCUCAGCCAAUCCUUUCGGUCAAUAAGAUUUGUUGUUAAAAUCAUUACCUUAAUAUCUUAAAACAAAUAUACAACUUAACUCUAAGCUCUUUGCACUUUUUAAUCUUCCAAAAUAUACACAAAAUAUUAGGCGAAAAAAACAAAAAAGUUCAAUUUAAUUAAUUUUUUUUGGUAAAGCCCUCUUAUUGGGGCCCAAAAAAGUCCAAAAUAUAGACAAAAUAACAAUAACAACAGUAUAAAGCCCUCUUACAAAUAAUUUGGGCCUGUUACGUUGUUUAAAUGAAUUAAAUUAGAAAAUAGAAACCAUACAUAGAAAAUAAUUUUGGCAAACAUGUAGUGUAAAAAUUAUUAGCACUAAUCUAAUUUUGAAUCUCUACAUCAUUGGACUUAUCAACUGUUCAUCAUAGUUAAAUUAUUUCAAUGUUAACAUUAGCAUUUGGUAAAAAUUAAACUAUAAUACAAAUCAAGGAAAGGUAGCAGGUGCAACUUAGAUUUCUUCUAUCCUGUUUGAACACUCAUGCUUUCUGAUAAGUCUUGAAGGAGACAUGAUUUAUUUUUUUCCCAUCCAGUUUGUGGUAUUAUUGGUUAUUGGGGGCCCCAAUGAAGGAAGCAUCUUCCUCUUGACGUGGUCUAGACUUUGUGCAUUAGUUUCCUUUAGUGUGCGAGUUUUUCUUCGUCAAUGAGUCAACUUCAGAGUUUCUUGCUAACGAGUACUCUUACAAUAUUGACUAACAAAUCUACAAGUUUUUAGCUUUGUCCCUUCGUCCCAAAAUAACUUAGUUAUUUGCGCAAAAAUUUUUUGUUUCAAAAUAAUAGACACAUUUUAUUUUUCAUAACUUUAAUUAAUAUUACUUUCAUUACUCUUAAUUAAAUAUAUUCUACUUUACAUUUAUAAUAAUGAAAAAUGCAUCAAUACUGGACAAGAGACUCAAAAUCGGACAUUUUUUUCUCUCUCUCUUUCAAUUAUACAAUUUUUUUUAUUAUGCGUAAAACGAACAAAAGAGUUGGGUAUGAUGAGACCAAGGGAGUGAUUAAUUACACAAUUUUUUGAUACAAAACUUACUUACAAUUAUUUUAGUACUUAACCAAUACCCAAAGGAGACUUAUUAACCUUCUCCAACGUAUAAAACCAUUUUCUUUGCAAGUUAUUUUUACUUUUGAGGGAAACUAAUGUAUUCCUAAGAAAAACCGUAAUUAUGGGACCAAAUUAGUGCUUCAGAAGAAAAAAAAACUUAUUUUCGGUCUUUAAGGAAAAUGAAAGAAGAUAAAGUAGAUCUGGUUUUUUUUUUUCUUCGUGAUAUCAUUGUCUGAAUGUGACGAUGUGUUGUUUGCCGUUUUAUGCAGCGAUGUUAAUUUAUCUUCUUGUUGUUGUGGUGUUUAUUUGUUUUAUAUUGAAAGAUUAAAUAUUCAAUUGAUUUUUAGAUGAACCGGUCAACUGAAACAAACAAAUAUCAUCAAGUUUGUUUGUAUUUGUUUCACUUAUAAAUAAAUAAAUAAAAAAGCUAAAACCAACUCAACACUCUCAAUUCUCAUAUCUUAGGGGGUGUGUUUGUUUCAAGUUAUAAUUGUUGAUUCCCGGGAAUAAAAUGAUAGGAAUGUAUAUGCCUAUGUUUGUUACAAGUUUACUAAAUUUUAUUCCCAGGUAUAAAAUGUUCCUGGGAAUAGAAAAAAAUUUCCCAAGGAAAAGGGUGGGAAUAAAGUUCUCAUGGAGAUGGAAAUAAAUUCAUAAAUAGUUUACCUAUUAUAAUCCCUAUUUUUAUGGUUCCUAGGAAUAUUAUAAAGCUAACCAAACAUAUUUUUCCUAAAUUCCUUGGAAUAAAAUUUUCAUCUUUAUAUUCCAAUUAAUGUUAUUCCUAGAAAUAAAUUUGGUAAACUUGAAACAAACACACCAUUGAGUCCUCUCAUCUCUAUUGUUGGAGAUUCAAUGCUGUGUCCUCUCUCUCAUAAUUUAAUGUUGUGCAGUACAAUGACACACUCAUAAUACUUCAGAUUAGAAUAUAUGUUAAAUUGAAUGUUUAGUCCCUUAAAUAUAUUUUUUGUUCAAUUAUAGUCCCAUAAUUACUAAUCCUUAAAUUAUGGUCCCUGAUUUUUGCACUUGUCAUUCAACAUGGUCCUCUCCUUCAAUUUUUUUGUCUUUCUUCAUCUUCUUAGUCGUCUUUAUACAUCGAGACUAAAUAUGUAAUUUAAAAUUUAUUUUAUCUUUCUUCAUUUUGUUCCGUCGUAUUCAUCAUCAUCUUCAUUACACAAUCUCAAAAGGAGAAAAAAAAAAAUCAUCCCUUCAACUCAACUGUAAAACCCAUAAAUAUAAAAAAUCAUCUCUCACUUCUUCAUCUUCAAACCUAGAAUACAGCUUAAUUUUUACAAGAGUAGUAACACCCUUGUUAAAAAGAGUGUUACUUAAACCAACCACAAAGUGUGACUUACAAUUUUAAUAUUUCAAAUUCCUAGUUAAAAAAUAACUGUAUCUUGCAUCCACAAACUCUUGAAGAAAUAAUCAAACUCAAAGGACCAAACUUCCUCCUUACCUUCCUUGUGUUCCUAGGGAAAUGAGUCAUGUGACCAUGUCAGAGUCUGAAACUUGAGCUGGGGAAAUGCAUUUCUGCUCUUCAACUGAUUCAUUGGAUUUCUCCUCAAGCUGAAUCGUAANAAUCUAUUUAAGAAUUUAUAUUUUGUAGUGUGACAUGCCGUUUAAUGUGGAACUCUGAUUUUAUAAUUUAUAAUUAAAUUGAUUUUGGGAAACGGGGUGUUACAAAUUACCUGGUGUUGAACCCAAUAUAGAAAAAGCCUCUGAAGUAGCUUCUGAUGGAGUUACUUUAGAAAGCUCACAACAACAAGCACCAAACUCACAAAUGGCCAAGAAAAGUCAAUCUGUUCCUGAACAACAUGUUCCUGAACACAUCAUUGAUGAUCAACCUAAGUCUCACAAUUCUCUUAACCAAAUCAAUGAUACUGACUUUAUGAUCACAUCAGAUUCUUCUGAUGGUAGGGAUGAGCAAACUAACUCCUAGGUCAAACCUGGAUUUCUUAGUAAGUCAACAAGCUCAUAUUCUACUGUGGUCUUAAAUUUUGUUCCUGAUCAACCUUCUGAGACCACAACUCAUACACCUAACCCUAAACCUUCUACCACUAACCUUCUUUCAUUUUCAAACUUAGCUAUUCAAACUUGUGCUCCUGCCAAAACCACAAAUGUCCUUUCUCCACCCACCCUGUUUCUAGAUUCUACUAUACUAGCAAAUAUGUGUGAGAACAUAUUUAAGGACCUGAACAAGUUAGUUCAAGUAAGGAACAAUCUGGUUCAUGAAGAUAACUAUGAAAAGCAAUGGAGGAGGUUGAAAGAAAGAGUGGAUUUUGUCUUGACUGGACUUCAAAGAUCAUCUCUUGAUGCUCAAGACACUUCUCAGAACAAACUCCAAGACUGGCUAAGAGGGAUUGUUUGUAACUUGCAAGAAGUUGAAGUCAGAAGAACUCUUGUGAAGACACCUUUAUUCCUUAUGGUAUUCACUCUAUGGAGCUGGAUCUAGCUUGGUUAUCUAAAAUAAAUGUCAAGAAAGCCUCACCAUAUUUGUCUUUGUUGCAAAGGAAUGCUAAACUAGAGAGUGAAAACAAGCAGCUGAAGAAAGAGCUUCUAGAUAAGAAACUAUUGAUGCUUGUAUACAAGACAUCUACAGAAGCAAAGCUUGAAGAAGCAAGGAUUAGAGAAGAGAAUUUGUUAAGAAGCCAUAAUGAUCUCAAGGAAAAAAUGAGGAAGUAAUCUGAGAACACAAAUAGGAAAUUCCAAGAAAUGAUGGAAAUGUUCCAAAAACAAGCCAAGCCUUAGUUGCACACAUUGUCUUUUAGCUUGUUUAGUUUUUACUCUUGAGUUUCUAUGUUUAUAUGCUUCUGAACCAUUUUUAGCUUCUGAAAUGUUUAUGUGUUUCUGAACUAAUAUUUUGCUUCUGAACUAAUUUUUUGCGCUUCUGAACUCAAUGAAUUUCUCACUAUGUUUUUCUCAUCUCUUACUUUUUGUCUUUAUAUUUUUCUUUAACUUUUGUUGAUGACAAAAGGGGGGUGGAUGUAUAGUAUUUAUGAUAGGCUCUGAGCCCCAUUAAUUUAAUUCUAAUCAAGUUAAAUUAAUAGAACAUUCUUCUUAUCUCUUAGUCUAUUUAAGGUGAGAUUAAUUCUGAUUGUUAUUUCGUUUUUAAAUGAUGAAUUUAAGCCUCGUUUGGACUGACUUAUUUUAAGCUUAUUGGAGCUUAUCUACUAACAUAAGCUCUUUCAAAUACGUUUGGGUAAAUAAUAAAAAUAGUUUAUACCAAUUUUAUAAGCCGCUUAUACCAUAUUUUCAUAAGCUUAUACGGAGCUUAUGGCCAAAUAUAUGUCACCCACUUCGAUUCUUGCUGUUCUCUUUUUUUCAAAGUCUAUAUUUUUUAUUUUAUUUAUUAUAUGUCUUUUGCGGUGGUGAUCAGUAUUUUACUUAUCUUUAUUAACACAAGUAUCUUCUUCUUCUUUUUCGCCAAAGCAUCUUUCUUUAUCUUUAUGUUAAUUUACUUUAAUUUAAUUUAUAUACAUUGUUUUUUUUUUUAUAAAUAUUAAACUCUUUGUAAAAAAAAACAUAUAUUGUUUUUUUUUUUUAACAGAUCAAAAUAAAAUAUAUGACUACUGGUAUUUCUGUGUAAAUUACAACAAUCGUUCAACAUAAUGGAAAAAAAAAAUGUUAAACUCAUUCAAGUUCUACAACCAUUUUCUCAAAAUAAUUUACACAGAAAUACCAAAACUUUUGAGAAAUAUCGUGUCAAUAUAUAUAUAUAUAUAUGAGUAGGGAUAUAUUGACUCCAAGAAUAAGUCUAAAAAGUUACUCCACAUCCUCACCCUCCAUUUUAUCUAAAUUUAAUGAACUAAAUUUAUGUCUUAUUAUAAUAAUCAUCAUGUGAUCUCAUCUACCUAAUCAUUUUCACAAUAUUAAUUAUGAUUUCCUUCUUUAGAUUUAAUGAAUAUUAACAAUCCUGUGAUGAGCUUUCUUCUUUUACGUUACUAUACUAUGCUGUUACCACCAUUCAUAAAUCAUGUCUUGUCUAAAUUUUUUUUUUUUUAAAAAGACCAUAUCUUAAAAUUUUGAAUAUUUUCACAUAUGGCCUAUAGAACUCAUUCAAGUUCUACAAACAUAUUUCUAAUAGUUUCGUAUAUAUAUAAUAAAAUUAUGAAUAUCUUUCAAAAAAAUAAAAAAUAAUUAUGAAUAUAUUUUAAUACUGUUCUUAUAAAGCUUUUUAGUCGUGGUUUGUUUCUUUAAUUUUUAAAUUAAAACUAUUUUAAUAUUUUAUAAUUGUUUAUGUAGUAACACAUCCAAACAUAAAGAGCUUAUUGAGUAUAAGAGCUUAUGAUGUAAGCUCUAGUCUAUAAGUUUUAAUGCUAUAAGCAUCUCUAUAAGCUAUUUAUCCAAACGGGGCCUUAAUUAACAUGGAUAGAACUCAGGGGGAGCUUACAAACCUCAUACCCUUAAAGUUAACUUGUUAAUUAAAUUAACAACAAUUGAACAUUUUUAAAUACUAAGUGUUUGUCACCAUCAAAAAUGGGGAGAUUGUUGGAACAAAAUGUGUUUAACAUUACCCUUUAAGAGUUUUGAUGAUAACAAGGUAUUAAAAAUUAUCAAUUGGAUACGCGAAUAUUUGUUCAAGUGUGCAGGACCAAAUACAAGGUUAAGUAUAUUUUGUUGGUUCUGGAAGAACAAAUUAAGAGCAAUGGAAUCAACAAAAAGAAAGCUUGAAGCGUAUGAAGAAAAGUGAUUAUGAAGUCAAGUUCUCAUGAAAUGAUGACGUCAUCAGAAGCAAGUUGAUCAGAAGCACUUCAUCAGAAGCUACAUCCCCAGAAGCUGUCUUUCAUCAGGAGCAGAAGAUCAUCAGAAGAUGAAAGAGUUAAUGCUUCAAAGACUGUUCAAAGGAUUUAAUCACGGCUAGCAUUGCAAGAAGACAAGAAGAGUGAAGCAACGACUAUUUUGAAAGAAUUUGAAGGCAUUAGAUGCUUAUUUUUUGAAGAGCGUUGAAAAACUACAAUUGUACGAAGUGUACAACCACUAUCUCCACUACUCUGUUUUGUGUCUGUAAUAAGACAAGAAUAACAUCUAUGUUUGCAACGAUGUUCCUCCAGACUUGGAAUGGAUUUGAAAUUGAUCCUUCAUAGGACAAUUAACAAAUCAUACAAAAGAUCAUUGGUGAUUUAAUCAAACUUCAAACGACUCUAUUUUGAUGUGUUGACAAUUCACAACGUCUCUUUCACACCUCUAUAUAAAGGGGUGAAGACUUAGAGAAUGGCAAGGACUCUACAACAAUUUGAAAGCGCCAAAACUCUGCUGAAAUUGUUCUGCAAGCAAAGUUCACUUAAAAUUUCUUAACAAAGUUAAUAUCUUCUUCAUUUUUUACAAUUUAAUAAAGCUUUGAGGCCAUUGCCAUUUUGUUUUCAUCUUUCAUUCAUAAUGAUUUGAGUCUAUAGAAGUGUCUGCUAUUUUUACUGAUUUGAAUUCAUUGUAGUUGAAAGCUUGAUAUUCUUCAACAUUUUUCUUUGGCCUCUACUGUGGUUUUGUAUCCGAUUCUGCAGUUGAAGCUUGAUAUUAUAGAAUAUUUUGAUAUUUCUAUCCAGCGUAGCUAAGUUUUCGAAUGUCAUACAGUUGAAGAGAGCUUGAAGAUGCAAUGCAGCUAAAGGAAGAGAUGUGUUCAGUGAAAAACCUUCCAGUGAUGAACUUUUGGCUGCCAUUUGACCUUUUUAACUGACAAUGAAUAUAGAAUAUCAUAAUGACAAUGUGGUGAGCUAUCUUUAUUUGACCUUUUUAUGAUAUUCUAUGUUUUGGCUGCCAUAUUCUCCUUAUCAGUAUCUGUUGGUAGAAAGAUUGACUUUCAAAUCCAGAGUCGUGUGAUUAAUCUCUGGACUACUCCGGACCAUUUCAAUCCAAAUGAAGUUGGCAGUAUGCAUAUGAUCUUGCUUGAUGAUCAGGUAAUUUAUGAGCUUUUUCAGUUGAUAAUAGCCAUUAUAGAUCGUUCCACGUAUGGGUUUUCUUAACAAAGAAUAAUCAUAUAGGUUUCUGUUUUAAUGCAAAAAUAGGAGCAUAAAGAAUGAAAGAAUGAGUAAAUAUUUCUGUUUUAAUAGCAUGCACUGUGGUUUUAAGUAUAAUAAUGAAAGGCCUGUAAAAAUGCGGUUUCUAUCAUCUAAAAUUAUCAGCUGAAAAGAAGCAAGCAAGAAAGAACAUAAGAAAUUAUUUGUCUAUUCGGCGUGGCAGUAUGUUCUUAUAGUUUCUUCAAUGUAUCUUGUAAUUUUGAUGUUUUUUUUUCUUUCUGAAACUUCUCAUUUUAUUUAUGCAGAACUAGGUGUAAGCAACACCAUAGAACACCAAAAAGAACGAAUACAAACGAGCCGUAGAAACGUGGAAACAUCUUGACCACCUAACUGUUGUAACAACUAAAAUGUCAUAUCAGAUGGCCCAGAAAAUGAUACCAAACAGCUCUAAAAGAUUUGAAUUAACUGUUAUGCUUCAUUUUAAUUUUGGAGGCUCUUGAAGGAGGUGAUUCAAGCAACAAGGGAGAGGCUGUUGCAGCAAUUGAUACUCGAGCAAGCAAACCGCUGGGAAAAAGGCCAGUUCAGAGUGUUGAAGGGCUCACUACAACAUUUUCGGUCUAAAACCGCUGGAUGCGAUCACCAUUGAGUUUGGAGAAGGCUCUGCUACUAAAGAGCCGAAGAUGGUUUGCAUCAAGACUGAAGUAUAGUGCCCUUUUAUCUAAGACGAAUGAUGGUUGCCGGGAUCCCAUGAGGCAUCCAAGAUUAACGCUGCUAUAGCUAAGUUCCUGGCAGGUGUUUCGGAAAAGUGCAAAAUGAGUAUUCAAGAACCGUGACAGAACACAGCUGAAUUGUAGAAUUUGAACAAACUACAAUUUUCUGUGAUCCGCGGUUGGCAAGACUUUAUUUCUGAUAAUAUUCUCACUUCAUUUCUAAAACUCUAAUCAAAAGCAGAAUCCAUAAGUCUUGAGGGAGACAUGAUUUAUUUUUUUCCCAUCCAGUUUGUGGUAUUAUUGGUUAUUGGGUGCCCCAAUGAAGGAAGCAUCUUCCUCUUGACGCGGUCUAGACUUUGUGCAUUACUUUUCCUUUAGUGUGCGAGUUUUUCUUCGUCAAUGAGUCAACUUCAGAGUUUCUUGCUAACGAGUACUCUUACAAUAUUGACUAACAAAUCUACUAAUAGAAACUUAGUUUAGGUAAUACAAGUUUUUAGCUUUGUCCCUUCGUCCCAAAAUAACUUAGUUAUUUGGGCAAAAAAAUUUGUCUCAAAAUAAUAGACACAUUUCAUUUUUCAAUAAUUUUAAUUAAUAUUACUUUAAUUACUCUUAAUUAAAUAUAUUCUACUUUGCAUUUAUAAUAAUGAAAAAUGUAUCAAUACUGGACAAGAUACUCAAAAUCGGACAUUUUUCUCGCUGUCUUUUUCACCUAUACAAUUUUUCUUAUUAUGUGUAAAAUGAACAAAAGACUUAUGUGUUAUGAGACCAAGGGAGUGAUUAAUUACACAAUUUUUUGAUACAAAACAUACUUACAAUUAUUUUAGUACUUAACCAAUACCCAAAGGAGACUUAUUAACCUUCUCCAACGUAUAAAACACAAUUUUCUUUGCAAGUUAUUUUUACUUUUGAGGGAAACUAAUUUAUUCCUAAGAAAAACCGUAGUGCUUCAGAAGAAAUAAAACUUAUUUUCGGUCUUUAAGGAAAAUAAAAGAAGAUAAAGUAGAUAAUAUGAGACAAAAUAAAUGGAAAUGAAGGUAACGCCGACUCUAGUUUUCUCUCUCUAGGUCCUCUCUUCCAUUUUCUUUAUUGAGGAGGUGGUUGUGGGUCAAAUUUUUAACCGAAAUCAGUAUUCUUCAUCUUUUUCUCUCUAUUUCAAUUUAAAUAAUUGAUUUUAAAUAGAUCUGGUUUUUUUUCUUCGUGAUAUCAUCGUCUCAAUGUGACGAUGUGUUGUUCGCCGUCUUGUGCGGCGAUGUUAAUUUCUCUUCUUGUUGUGGUGUUUAUUUGUUUUAUAUUGAAAGAUUAAAUAUUCAAUUGAUUUUUAGAUGAACCGGUCAAAUGAAACAAACAAAUAUCAUCAAGUUUGUUUGUAUUUGUUUCACUUAUAAAUAAAUAAAAAGCUAAAACCAACUCAACACAAUCAAUUUUCAUACCUUAAUGUUGUUGAGUCCUCUCAUCUCUAUUGUUGGAGAUUCAAUGUCGUGUCCUCUCUCUCAUAAUUUAAUGUUGUGCAGUACAAUAACACACUCAUAAUACUUCAGAUUAGAAUAUAUGUUAAAUUGAAUGUUUAGUCCCUUAAAUAUAUUUUUUGUUCAAUUUUAGUCCCAUAAUUACUAAUCCUUACAUUAUGGUCCCUGAUUUUUGCACUUGUCAUUCAACAUGGUCCUCUCCAUCAAUUUUUUGUCUUUCUUCAUCAUUAUCUUCAUUACACAAUCUCAAAAGGAGAAAAAAAAAAUCAUCCGUUCAACACAACUGUAAAACCCAUAAAUAUGAAAAAUCAUCUCUCACUUCUCCAUCUUCAAACCCAGAAUACAACUUAAUUUUUACAAGAGUAGUAACACCCUUGUUAAAGAGAGUGUUACUUAAACCAACCACAAAGUGUGACUUACAAUUUUCAUAUUUCAAAUUUCUAGUUAAAAAAUAACUGUAUCUUGCAUCCACAAACUCUUGAAAAAAUAAUCAAACUUAAAGGACCAAACUUCCUCCUUACCUUCCUUGUGUUCCUAGGGAAAUGAGUCUUGGUUGUUGAACAAGGUUUAAUAGAAUGAGCAUUAGGAACAGAAUUCAUGUGACCAUGUCAGAGUCUGAAACUUGAGCUGGGGAAAUGCAUUUCUGCUCUUCAACUGAUUCAUUGGAUUUCUCCUCAAGCUGAAUCGUAACAUUACAAGAAAAUGACAACAUUACAAAUUUACAAUGUCUGCAAUAAUCCUAUAACAGUAAAUGGACAAAGUUUUCAAUUCUAACAUAUAACCUUAGUAGAUGGAAGAAUAGCGGUGUUAGCCAAUAUUUUUAAAGGCUAUCAUUUAAUACGGUCAAAGAAGGUCAACCCAGAAGAAACUAGGGAUUUGAUCUUACGUCUCUAUCGAAAUUAUGUUACUUGAGAUGAUCGAAGGUGCGUGUCUCAAUUCGAUGGACGGAAGGAUUUGAAAGGCGGUUACCUUUUGGAUAAGGACAGAAGAUAACGGAUAUGUUCGAUAUACAUUUGAAAUUCAAAUCAAAUGGCUAAGAUUAGUUAGUUUUCUGCAGUUAUAGUUUUAAAUCAAAUCUAGGCAGUUAUUUCUAUUUGUAUAAAUAGUAGUUUCUCUUAAGAAAAAAGGGUCACAAUUCAAUCAUACAAAAACUUACACUCAAAUUAUCCGCAUGGAAGAAAGAAACGAGUCACAAGUUGCAAUGUAUGAAUAUCUGUACCAAUCUACAUUCAAUCAAUGCAAUUUAAGUUCAUUUUCUUAAAUGUCUUUGCAAUUUACUUGUUUCUUUUGAGCAAUUCAUUCACUUUUAUUUAUACCGGUCUUCGAUUGGGUUCAACUGGAUUGAAUUCGAUUGCUUUUUUUCUUAUUUCGUUUUAUCAAGUUCUUCAAAGAACAAAUAUCAAAAUUUCUAGAAGAUAAAUAGACACAAUAUGUCCUUAAGAUUUACUGGUUGAUCUUGCAAGUAAACAUUUUUAAACCAGCGAUUGUUUACCAAAUUUCAGUGUAAACAAGCGGCUAUAGCAUUGCGGAAUUUGAACAAAUUGUUAUUUUUCCACGGUACUCUAUUUAGUAGUGCUGUCAACUAAAUUAUAUUUAGCUCUUGUGAAUUUUGAACAACUUUCUUCAAGGAUAGAUUGCAUAAUAGAAACUAAACAAAACCUAUAGCAUGAUGCAGGCAGUGGAAACUUAUGCAAUAAAAAUGGAAAACAUGAAUGCCAAAAAUGGAAAACACGAAUGCCAUACAAAUUGUUGAAAUAACUUUCAAAGAAUAAAGCUUACAUUUUCUCCCUGAACCUCAAAUUGGGUCCUAUUGGCAGAUUCAGGAGUUAUCCCUUCACGAGUUGAUAAUGUAUUGUCAGUCAUAAGCUGAUCUUCGACAUAUAACUCAGAUUUAUGCUGGGAUGAAGCAUUAGCAAAACUACCUGGAACCGGAAUUUCUUUACCGGCAAAAGAAGCAGAAUUAUGAACAGAACGAUUAAAUCCAUUAGAUUGCCCAACUAUGUUCGAUUGAGUUGCAGAACAGAACUUUCCACGAUUUUCAUAUUUCACGGUAUCAAUCCGAGUUUUCAAAUUCUCAACUUGCGACAACAAUGCUUCAACAUUUUCAAUAAUGUUAACGAAGGAUUUAUCAUUAUCUUUAUGAUGAUCUACAGAUGUCUACAUAUCGUUUAACUUGAUCUCCCCAACAUUAUCAGCAUUACCUUUUCAUACGUUCUGUACUCUUGUCCACAUAUCGUUUAGCAUUACCUCUUUCAUGUACUCUUUUUCCUCCUUUGCGGGUUUUGUACUCCUUGUGCUAGCCUUGCUUAAUAUAUUUGCUGAUUCAAAAAAAGGAUUAAAAAUUUAGAAUCUCAUCGAAUGUAGGAACAUAUAUUAUGGCUACUUACCCACGACAUCAUCAUGAAAACCUUCUACGGGACCAUCAUGAGCUCGGUUUUCACUCUCUGGACAGCAGAAGAGAAAAAAAAGAUUACUAUCAAAGCAAAAUACAUUGGCAAAAGAAAAUACUACAAUAAACAAAGUAAUUCCAUACCAUAGUACGAGAAAAAACAAUGGUUAGACAUAAAUGAUGAUAAAUCAAAUUCUUCAGCUCUUCUCCUGUUCUUUCUUCACAUUACUUUAGUCCUUUGAAUUCCCUCAGAUCUAGGUACUGACUUGACACCAAAAUUGUCUACUGCAAACUUCAAAAAAUCAAACUGUUUUUGUUGAUCGAUAGCCACAAUCUCUUCUAUGUAUUUCUGUGCUUGAGAGUUGAGUUUCUUUAUUUUCAACUCGAUCCAUUUAGAGCGCCACAUUAUAGGAAAGAUGUACCUCCUUCCGGAUUAUCUAAGACCCUUUCUCCUAAGAACCGAAGGGUUAAGACCACAAAAACAUGCAAGCCAUAUCCCACUAAUUGGGGCCGACUACAUUGAUCAAAUUAAGCCUUAAUGUUCGAUCAUAAACCAUAUUUUAAUCCAACUCAUUAAUCUAAUGAUUUUUCUAAAUAGUUUCUCUUAUAGUUUUUUAGGUCUACCUCUGCCUCUAGCAAUCUGACUAUCUUCCAUCUUAUCUACUAUAGCAUCUACAAGUUUUCUCUCAACAAGUCCAAACAACCUAAUUCUAGUUUUCCUCUCCUUACUAUCAUCUAAAAGUCUUCUCUCUACAAAAAAAAAAUUUCCCUCUUAAAAAUUAAAAAUCAGACUUGAUAUCAAUUUGGUGAUAUUUUUGGCCUUCUGCCAUCGACAACACUGAUUUUAUUGAAAAAAAACGUUAUUUUUUGUGAUCCACAAUUGACAACAGUGGUCUAUAUUGCACACUUGUACUUGCUAGUUUAAAACAAUAGUAGUAUACUCAACUUUAAGCAUUCACUGCUCUUGAUGUUGUCUGUACUUGACUUCUCAAUAUGGUAUAUCGGUGUUGUCAAAUAGCAAUGUUCCGAAAUUUGAACAAAUUGCUAUUGUUUCGGGAUAUGCUAUUUAGUUCUAAGUGUGGCCAAAUGUCAACUAUAACGGCGACAUACCACUAUAGCGUUGUGGAAUUUAAAGGUUUAAAAAAAUUGGUAUUAUUCUGCAAUACACUUUUUGUACCAACUGUUGUCAAAUUGUGGCUAUAGCACUGCAGUGUAAUUUGGACUCGCUAGUUUCAUGCUCCUUUAUGCAGUAGCAAUUCACUCACCAUUGAACAUUUUAUGUGUUUAAUGCCAAUCAUUCUAUGCCGAAUUUUUAAUGGAACGCUGGAGUUUGAAUACGAGUGAAAUUUUGGGAGUUUUGAGUCCCAUAGCUUUCUGGAGUGAAAUAUUCGAACAAUGGAAAGAAGCUAAUGAGGAAGCAAGAGAAAAAAUGUUUAGAGACAUAUUGGCUAAAAGAACAGCAGAAUAAGAAUGCCAUUCCUGAUAAUAAUCACCAAGUACAUCAAGAAUUUUUUUUGUUGAAUUUGUAAACCUUGAGAUAUUGAUUGAAUCAAUUGCAAUACCUUUAUCUUUUAAUUCAGUUAUCAUAAUAAUUGAAACAGAAGUAAUUCAAUUUUAUACAAAAACAGAAAUGUGAAUACAUAUAUACUUAUGUUUGAUGUAUCACAACAACAAAGUUUUACAGCAUUUUUCAACAACUUUUGGGAAAAAAAAGGCAAUGUCUUUAUUAUUAUAAUAACACACUCAACUUAAUUCAUUCUGAAGUUUUCUUUCAAGGGUUCGCAAUACAAAACAAUGCUUUAAGUUCUUCACUCAUUAGUUGCUGCACUGAAAUUUCACUGAAAGGAAUACUUAAUCGUGGAAGCUCGGUGACAAAACUUUGCGACACACAUUUCAUUGUUGGUCGAGAACGAGGAUUGACAUUUAAGCAUGCAAAUGCUACCACGGCAGCAUGAAUUAUGUCACGUAUAACUAUGUCAUUAUUUGGAAGUGGAAGACGGUGGUCUAAUACUUGACAUAGUUUGAGACUUUGUGUCGAUGUUGAUUGAAGUGAUGACAAUAAAUCCCCAGGGUGCCUUCCAACUAAAGUUUCAAGUGCCACUACACCAAAACUAUAUACAUCACACUUUUCAUUAACAGCCAUAGUAUAGGCAAGUUCUGCAUUGAUCAAAUCACUAUGAAUAUUUAAAAGAAUCCAAAGAAAAUAAUUUAAAAUUACUACUUAGCAUGAAAAACUAAUGAACAUGUAUAUUAUUUUUGUGGAUUAUGAAUAUACAUGUUGUGCUUCAUAUAAAAAUGAACGGAAAAAAAAAAAAAACAUAACAAGAAAAGAAAAAAUAGCAAUGGUUAAUUUACCUGGAGCUAUAUAUCCAAUAGUUCCAGCAACUAUAGUUCGAUUGGAUGAAUCAUAUUGAAGGAGCCGAGCUAUGCCGAAGUCACAAACACUGGCCUGCCACUCAGAGUUUAGCAAGAUAUUGCUAGUAGAUACAUCUCGAUGCACUAUUGGAGCAGUGCAAUCAUGAUGAAGAUAUGAAAAAGCAAAUGCAACUCCUUUAAUAGUGUUAACCCUUUUCCUCCACUUGAAUUCCACGACUUUUACAUCAUCAUACAAGACAGAGAACAAGCUUCCUUUCUCCAUGUAUUGAUAGAUCAAAAACAUGAUUCUUUUGUGCAAGCAGAAUCCAUAAAGCUUCACAAUAUGUCGGUGCUUUAUUUCUGAUAAUAUUCUCACUUCAUUUCUGAAACUAUCAUCAAAAGAUGGAACCUCUGCUUCAUAGCGGUGAAGUUUCUUUAAGGCAACAACCUUGCCACUUGGUAAUUGUGCCUUGUAAACACUUCCAUAUGCUCCUGUUCCAAUGCAAUAUCUCAUGUCAAAGUCUUCUGUUGCUUUGAUGAUGUCAUCAUAUGCUAUCUUCCCAUCAAAAUUCCAUAUACAAAACAUAUCUCCAUUCUUUGUUUUUGUUGAGUUUCCUUGCGAUUUCUUAGUAGAAUUAUGAUGACGAUACAAGCAUAUGAGAAGUGAGAAGACUAGGAUUAGAGCAAUAAGGAUCGGAAGAACAAUGAUGACAAUGUGCUUUAAUUUUUUAUUUUUCUUGUGUGUUGGCCAAGGAUGGAAUUGGUGAAAAGACAUUACAGAGAGAUUACAAAGAGAUUGGGGAAUUGCUCCAUUGAGAUUAUUAUUUCCCUUAUUCUUUGUAUAAACCUGAAGACAAUUUGGAAUGGGACCCUCCAAACAAUUGUAUGAAAUGUCCACAUAAUAGACAUUACAGAGAGAUUGGGGAAUUGUUCCAGUGAGAUUAUUAUUGCUUAAAUUAAGUUCGUGAAAACCUCGAAUAUGAGAAGGGAUUUGACCGCUAAUGAGGUUGUGACUGAGGUCCAUGAAAAAUAAAUUAUCAUUAAAUGGAAAAAAUUUGGAAGGAAGCGUACCUAUGAGUAAAUUAUAUGAGAUGUCAAGGUAAUCUAAUUGUGUAAGAUUUGUAAGAAAAUUAGGCAAGUUUCCAUUGAGUCUAUUGUGAGAUAGAUCUAAUGUGAUGAUAUUUCUGAGGAACCCCAACUCAAGAGGAAUGGAACCUUGAAUGUUGUUGUGAGAGAUGUUUAGUAGUUGUAACUGGUUGAGAUUUCCUACUGGACCUUUAAGAUAAUUGCUAGACAAAUCAAGGUCAGUGAGUCUAUUGUGAGAUAGAUCAAAUGUAAUGAUAUUUUUCAGGAACACCAACUCAAAAGGAAUGAAACCUUGAACAUGGUUGUGAGAGAUGUUUAGAUGUUGUAACUGUUUGAGAUUUCCCAAUGAAGAAGGUAUCUCACCUUUGAAUAUAUUGUUAGAUAGACCUAGUGUAGAAAGAUUUUUGAGGAAGCCCAACUCAAAAGGAAUAUGACCUUCAAUGUAGUUGUCAGAGAUGUCUAGGUUCUCUAAUUGUUUUAGAUUUCCUAGUGAAGAAGGUAUCUGACCUUUGAAUCUAUUGUAAGAUAGAUCUAAGAAAGUGAGAUUUUUUAGCAACCACAAUUCAGAAGGUAGCUGACCUUUAAGAAAAUUGGCAGACAAAUCAAGAUGAGUGAGUUUGGAGAGAUUUCCUAGUGAAGGAGGUAGCUGACCUUUAAGAAAAUUGGCAGACAAAUCAAGAUGAGUGAGUUUGGAGAGAUUUGCUAGUGAAGGAGGUAGCUGACCUUUAAGAAUAUUGGCAGACAAAUCAAGAUGAGUGAGUUUGGAGAGGUUUCCUAGUGAAUGAGGUAGCUGACCUUCAAGAUUAUUGUAAGACAUGUUAAGAUGAGUGAGCUUGGAGAGAUUUCCUAGUGAAGAAGGUAUCUCACCUUUGAAUCUAUUGUUAAAUAGAUCUAAGAAAGUGAGAUUUUUUAGCAACCACAAUUCAGGAGGUAGCUGACCUUCAAGAAAAUUGGCAGACAAAUCAAGAUGAGUGAGUUUAGAGAGAUGACCAAUUUCUUUUGAGAUAGUCCCUUCUAGUGUAAUUUUUCUUAGAACAAGGCUUUCUAGAUUUUUGAAACAAGCCAAGUUGAGAGUAGACAAGUUGCGUGUUUUAAAAUCAUACUCCCAGGCAGCGUAUGUAGAAUCAUCAGAGUCUAUCUUAAUUGCUAUUAUGCUUCCAGCAUCGUUGCAAAAUAUACCAUGCCCAUGACAACGAUCAGAGAUAUUGAAGUUUGCAUCAGAAGUGUUCCACCAUCCACUAUUUAAUAUAGCAUUUGCUUCCAUUUGAAGUUGAUGAGAUGUCAUUGUGGCAGAUUGAGUUCCCUCAACCAAACCACAAAUUAUAAGAAGAAAGACCAUCCACAUUUUUGGACCAAAGAAAUUUGAAACUAAAUAUUUUAUCAAGUUCAUAUUUUUUCUAUGAGAUGUGAUGAAUGACCAUCAAAAACCUUUAUGAUGUUGUGUUAACCCACUUAUUUCUUUUCUUUUUGAGCGCUGGACCUUUUAUUUCUAUUUUCUAAGGACCUUUUUUUUUUAAAGUACCUUUAAAAAAGAUCCAUGUGUUUCUCACUUAUUUUACUUUUUUGUUAGAUUAUAAUCAUGGGAACUUUUGAUUUAUUGCUUCUUCCGGUAGGCCAAACAAAAGGUGGAUUCAAAUCGACUCUAUAACAUCAAUCUGUUAUCAUUAAAAAAAAAAUCAGUUUGAAUCCUGACCGGAGAAAUUAUUAAGAAGACUUGCUUGUUGGACCAGUUUAUGAUAAUAGAACAUUAUGACGUAAUUUGAUCCAAGUAGCCGACCCCACUUAGUGGGAUAAGACUUGGUUGUCGUUAUUGUUGUUAAAUCCUGGCUGGAACAAUCCUUGGCUAGACAUUACCUACCUUCUAGCUGAACUCCGGAUUAUCUAAGACCCUUUCUCCUAAGAACCGAAGGGUUAAGACCACAAAAACAUGCAAGCCAUAUCCCACUAAUUGGGGUCGACUACAUUGAUCAAAUUAAGCCUUAAUGUUCAAUCAUAAACCAUAUUUUAAUCCAACUCAUUAAUCUAAUGAUUUUUCUAAAUAGUUUCUCUUAUAGUUUUUUAGGUCUACCUCUGCCUCUAGCAAUCUGACUAUCUUCCAUCUUAUCUACUCUCCUUACUAUAGCAUCUACAAGUUUUCUCUCAACAAGUCCAAACAACCUAAUUCUAGUUUUCCUCUCCUUACUGUCAUCUAAAAGUCUUCUCUCUACACAAAAAACAUUUCUCUCUUAAAAAUUAAAAAUCAGACUUGAUAUCAAUUUGGUGAUAUUUUUGGCCUUCUGCCAUCGACAACACCGAUUUUAUUGAAAAAAAACGUUAUUUUUUGUGAUCCACAAUUGACAACAGUGGUCUAUAUUGCACACUUGUACUUGCUAGUUUAAAACAAUAGUAGUAUACUCAACUUUAAGCAUUCACUGCUCUUGAUGUUGUCUGUACUUGACUUCUCAGUAUGGUAUAUCGGUGUUGUCAAAUAGCAAUGUUCCCAAAUUUGAACAAAUUGCUAUAGUUUCGGGAUAUGCUAUUUAGUUCUAAGUGUGGCCAAAUGUCAACUAUAACGGCGACAUACCACUAUAGCGUUGUGGAAUUUAAAGGUUUAAAUAAAUUGGUAUUAUUCUGCAAUACACUUUUUGUACCAACUGUUGUCAAAUUGUGGCUAUAGCACUGUAGUGUAAUUUGGACUCGCUAGUUUCAUGCUCCUUUAUGCAGUAGCAAUUCACUCACCUUUGAACAUUUUAUGUGUUUAAUGCCAAUCAUUCUAUGCCGAAUUUUUAAUGGAACACUGGAGUUUGAAUACGAGUGAAAUUUUGGGAGUUUUGAGUCCCAUAGCUUUCUGGAGUGAAAUAUUCGAACAAUGGAAAGAAGCUAAUGAGGAAGCAAGAGAAAAAAUGUUUAGAGACAUAUUGGCUAAAAGAACAGCAGAAUAAGAAUGCCAUUCCUGAUAUCCUUAGCCACUUGCUCUCAUUGCACUCAAGCUAAUGAGGAAGCUAACUAGUAAGGCAAUGCAUCUGAUAAUAAUCACCAAGUACAUCAAGAAUUUUUUUUGUUGAAUUUGUAAACCUUGAGAUAUUGAUUGAAUCAAUUGCAAUACCUUUAUCUUUUAAUUCAGUUAUCAUAAUAAUUGAAACAGAAGUAAUUCAAUUUUAUACAAAAACAGAAAUGUGAAUACAUAUAUACUUAUGUUUGAUGUAUCACAACAACAAAGUUUUACAGCAUUUUUCAACAACUUUUGGGAAAAAAAAGGCAAUGUCUUUAUUAUUAUAAUAACACACUCAACUUAAUUCAUUCUGAAGUUUUCUUUCAAGGGUUCGCAAUACAAAACAAUGCUUUAAGUUCUUCACUCAUUAGUUGCUGCACUGAAAUUUCACUGAAAGGAAUACUUAAUCGUGGAAGCUCGGUGACAAAACUUUGCGACACACAUUUCAUUGUUGGUCGAGAACGAGGAUUGACAUUUAAGCAUGCAAAUGCUACCACGGCAGCAUGAAUUAUGUCACGUAUAACUAUGUCAUUAUUUGGAAGUGGAAGACGGUGGUCUAAUACUUGACAUAGUUUGAGACUUUGUGUCGAUGUUGAUUGAAGUGAUGACAAUAAAUCCCCAGGGUGCCUUCCAACUAAAGUUUCAAGUGCCACUACACCAAAACUAUAUACAUCACACUUUUCAUUAACAGCCAUAGUAUAGGCAAGUUCUGCAUUGAUCAAAUCACUAUGAAUAUUUAAAAGAAUCCAAAGAAAAUAAUUUAAAAUUACUACUUAGCAUGAAAAACUAAUGAACAUGUAUAUUAUUUUUGUGGAUUAUGAAUAUACAUGUUGUGCUUCAUAUAAAAAUGAACGGAAAAAAAAAAAAAACAUAACAAGAAAAGAAAAAAUAGCAAUGGUUAAUUUACCUGGAGCUAUAUAUCCAAUAGUUCCAGCAACUAUAGUUCGAUUGGAUGAAUCAUAUUGAAGGAGCCGAGCUAUGCCGAAGUCACAAACACUGGCCUGCCACUCAGAGUUUAGCAAGAUAUUGCUAGUAGAUACAUCUCGAUGCACUAUUGGAGCAGUGCAAUCAUGAUGAAGAUAUGAAAAAGCAAAUGCAACUCCUUUAAUAGUGUUAACCCUUUUCCUCCACUUGAAUUCCACGACUUUUACAUCAUCAUACAAGACAGAGAACAAGCUUCCUUUCUCCAUGUAUUGAUAGAUCAAAAACAUGAUUCUUUUGUGCAAGCAGAAUCCAUAAAGCUUCACAAUAUGUCGGUGCUUUAUUUCUGAUAAUAUUCUCACUUCAUUUCUGAAACUAUCAUCAAAAGAUGGAACCUCUGCUUCAUAGCGGUGAAGUUUCUUUAAGGCAACAACCUUGCCACUUGGUAAUUGUGCCUUGUAAACACUUCCAUAUGCUCCUGUUCCAAUGCAAUAUCUCAUGUCAAAGUCUUCUGUUGCUUUGAUGAUGUCAUCAUAUGCUAUCUUCCCAUCAAAAUUCCAUAUACAAAACAUAUCUCCAUUCUUUGUUUUUGUUGAGUUUCCUUGCGAUUUCUUAGUAGAAUUAUGAUGACGAUACAAGCAUAUGAGAAGUGAGAAGACUAGGAUUAGAGCAAUAAGGAUCGGAAGAACAAUGAUGACAAUGUGCUUUAAUUUUUUAUUUUUCUUGUGUGUUGGCCAAGGAUGGAAUUGGUGAAAAGACAUUACAGAGAGAUUACAAAGAGAUUGGGGAAUUGCUCCAUUGAGAUUAUUAUUUCCCUUAUUCUUUGUAUAAACCUGAAGACAAUUUGGAAUGGGACCCUCCAAACAAUUGUAUGAAAUGUCCACAUAAUAGACAUUACAGAGAGAUUGGGGAAUUGUUCCAGUGAGAUUAUUAUUGCUUAAAUUAAGUUCGUGAAAACCUCGAAUAUGAGAAGGGAUUUGACCGCUAAUGAGGUUGUGACUGAGGUCCAUGAAAAAUAAAUUAUCAUUAAAUGGAAAAAAUUUGGAAGGAAGCGUACCUAUGAGUAAAUUAUAUGAGAUGUCAAGGUAAUCUAAUUGUGUAAGAUUUGUAAGAAAAUUAGGCAAGUUUCCAUUGAGUCUAUUGUGAGAUAGAUCUAAUGUGAUGAUAUUUCUGAGGAACCCCAACUCAAGAGGAAUGGAACCUUGAAUGUUGUUGUGAGAGAUGUUUAGUAGUUGUAACUGGUUGAGAUUUCCUACUGGACCUUUAAGAUAAUUGCUAGACAAAUCAAGGUCAGUGAGUCUAUUGUGAGAUAGAUCAAAUGUAAUGAUAUUUUUCAGGAACACCAACUCAAAAGGAAUGAAACCUUGAACAUGGUUGUGAGAGAUGUUUAGAUGUUGUAACUGUUUGAGAUUUCCCAAUGAAGAAGGUAUCUCACCUUUGAAUAUAUUGUUAGAUAGACCUAGUGUAGAAAGAUUUUUGAGGAAGCCCAACUCAAAAGGAAUAUGACCUUCAAUGUAGUUGUCAGAGAUGUCUAGGUUCUCUAAUUGUUUUAGAUUUCCUAGUGAAGAAGGUAUCUGACCUUUGAAUCUAUUGUAAGAUAGAUCUAAGAAAGUGAGAUUUUUUAGCAACCACAAUUCAGAAGGUAGCUGACCUUUAAGAAAAUUGGCAGACAAAUCAAGAUGAGUGAGUUUGGAGAGAUUUCCUAGUGAAGGAGGUAGCUGACCUUUAAGAAAAUUGGCAGACAAAUCAAGAUGAGUGAGUUUGGAGAGAUUUGCUAGUGAAGGAGGUAGCUGACCUUUAAGAAUAUUGGCAGACAAAUCAAGAUGAGUGAGUUUGGAG
RNAcentral lists this long non-coding RNA (21113 nucleotides) under Medicago truncatula (barrel medic). RNAcentral's name for it is "long non-coding RNA (MTRU_LNC006174)". The record is from RNAcentral. Lineage: Eukaryota; Viridiplantae; Streptophyta; Magnoliopsida; Fabales; Fabaceae.